RNAcentral lists this ribosomal RNA (241 nucleotides) under uncultured bacterium. RNAcentral describes it as "partial 16S ribosomal RNA". It matches the Rfam family "Bacterial small subunit ribosomal RNA", at positions 15 to 219 of the family's 1533-position model. The record is from RNAcentral.
GAUCCUGGCUCAGGAUAAACGCUGGCGGCGCACAUAAGACAUGCAAGUCGAACGGAAGUCGUUACGAAACGGGAUGAAGAUUUAUCUGAAUGAAGUUUUGUUAACAAUGGCUUUAGUGGCGGACUGGUGAGUAACACGUAAGCAAUCUACCUAUUAGAGGGGAAUAACAAUGAGAAAUCAUUGCUAAUACCGCAUAAGCUUGUAGUACCGCAUGGUACAGCAAGAAAAGGAGCAAUCCGCU